CACACCGCCCGUCACACCAUGGGAGUUGGUCACCGAAGGCGUUGCGCUAACUCGCAAGAGAGGCAGGCGACCACGGUGGGCUUAGCGACUGGGGUG
This 96-nucleotide ribosomal RNA is filed under the name uncultured bacterium. RNAcentral describes it as "partial 16S ribosomal RNA". The record is from RNAcentral.